UUACAAUGCACGAAAGUGUGAUAGGGGGAUACUCAGUGCUUACGACUAUGUUGUAGGCUUUUGUCGAUCGUAAACAGAUCGGCGAAUAAGUGGUGGGUAAGACUGGUGCCAGCCGCCGCGGUAACCCCAGCGCCACAAGUGGUCAUCGCGAUUAUUGGGCCUAAAGCGUUCGUAGCCGGUUUGGUAAAUCUCUUGUGAAAUUGUUCGGCUUAACCGGACAGCGUGCAGGAGACACUGCCAGACUCGAGACCGGGAGGCGUUAGAAGUAUUCCAUGGGGACUGGUAAAAUGGGAUAAUCCAUGGAAGACUACCGAUGGCGAAGGCAUCUAACGAGAACGGAUCUGACGGUGAGGAACGAAAGCUAGGGGAGCGAACCGG
RNAcentral lists this ribosomal RNA (378 nucleotides) under uncultured archaeon. RNAcentral's name for it is "bacterial SSU rRNA". It matches the Rfam family "Archaeal small subunit ribosomal RNA", at positions 350 to 727 of the family's 1478-position model. The record is from RNAcentral.